Molecule: ribosomal RNA, 274 nt
Filed under: uncultured bacterium
Lineage: Bacteria
Description: partial 16S ribosomal RNA
Rfam family: Bacterial small subunit ribosomal RNA
Source: RNAcentral
AUACGGAGGGUGCAAGCGUUGUCCGGAUUUAUUGGGUUUAAAGGGUGCGUAGGCGGCGUAAUAAGUCAGUGGUGAAAGCCGGCAGCUCAACUGUCGAGGUGCCAUUGAAACUGUUAUGCUUGAGUACAGACGAGGUAGGCGGAAUUUAUGAUGUAGCGGUGAAAUGCAUAGAUAUCAUAAAGAACACCGAUAGCGAAGGCAGCUUACUAGGCUGUAACUGACGCUGAGGCACGAAAGCGUGGGGAGCGAACAGGAUUAGAUACCCCGGUAGUCC